GAUGAACGCUGGCGGCGUGCCUAAUACAUGCAAGUCGAGCGAACAGACGAGGAGCUUGCUCCUCUGACGUUAGCGGCGGACGGGUGAGUAACACGUGGAUAACCUACCUAUAAGACUGGGAUAACUUCGGGAAACCGGAGCUAAUACCGGAUAAUAUAUUGAACCGCAUGGUUCAAUAGUGAAAGACGGCUUUGCUGUCACUUAUAGAUGGAUCCGCGCCGCAUUAGCUAGUUGGUAAGGUAACGGCUUACCAAGGCAACGAUGCGUAGCCGACCUGAGAGGGUGAUCGGCCACACUGGAACUGAGACACGGUCCAGACUCCUACGGGAGGCAGCAGUAGGGAAUCUUCCGCAAUGGGCGAAAGCCUGACGGAGCAACGCCGCGUGAGUGAUGAAGGUCUUCGGGUCGUAAAACUCUGUUAUUAGGGAAGAACAACUGUGUAAGUAACUCUGCACGUCUUGACGGUACCUAAUCAGAAAGCCCCGGCUAACUACGUG
This 497-nucleotide ribosomal RNA is filed under the name uncultured bacterium. RNAcentral describes it as "partial 16S ribosomal RNA". It matches the Rfam family "Bacterial small subunit ribosomal RNA", at positions 28 to 507 of the family's 1533-position model. The record is from RNAcentral.